Molecule: long non-coding RNA, 771 nt
Organism: Brienomyrus brachyistius
Lineage: Eukaryota; Metazoa; Chordata; Actinopteri; Osteoglossiformes; Mormyridae
Exons: 4
Source: RefSeq, a predicted model, not a curated record
CCUGUUCCUGGGAUCACGUUCAUCCUGGGUAAUGACAUCGCGGGGAAGAGAAUUUUCCCCUACCUGAAGUUGCCCCAGAACCUGAGAUCUGCGCAAAUGAUGUUGCGGCGGAUUUGCCCCAGGUGUUGCCCCAGGUGCUUCUGACGCGGGCCCAGCAACGCAAGUUCGCCGACAUUAAUCUGGCCGAGACAUUUAUGUCCGACCCAGCACCUCCUUCAACAGAUAACGACUUGUUCUACAUUAGAAACAAGGGACCCAAUAAGGAGGCAAAAUGUAAAGUUGUGUGCAGUGCGGCGGAGGCUGACGAAUUCUUCAAGGAGUUUCACUUCAGUGACAUAGGCGCACAUUCUGGACAAAUUAAAACACCGGAUGCCAUUUCUCAGCAGUACUACUCGCCUGGCAUGUCAACAGACAUAGAGAAAAGGGAUGAAGGUCCCAUUUGAACUGAUUGGAAUAGACUUAAUUGGAAAGUUGGUCACAUCUGACCAGCAAAAUCAGUAUAUAUGUGUCAUAAUUGAUUAUUGCACCAGAUGGGACAGACUUAUCCAAUUAAAACCAAGUCUGAUAAAUAGGCGACACAGUUAAACAUUAAAAUUUGUUUAUCAAUAUGAAGUCCCUAAAGGGAUACUGACUGACCAAGGCAAAGAGUUUGUUAAUACUAUCAACACUGAGGUCUGCAAAGUGCUUGGCAUAAAGAGAAGCCUCUGUGCCCCAUACCACCCUCAGACCAUUGGAUUGGUGGAGAGGGUCAAUGGCACUAUACAGAGGUGA